GAGCUUGCUCCUUUAGGUUAGCGGCGGACGGGUGAGUAACACGUGGGCAACCUGCCCUGCAGACUGGGAUAACUUCGGGAAACCGGAGCUAAUACCGGAUAACACCGAARACCGCAUGGUUUUCGGUUGAAAGGCGACUUUUAGCUGUCACUGCAGGAUGGGCCCGCGGCGCAUUAGCUAGUUGGUGAGGUAACGGCUCACCAAGGCGACGAUGCGUAGCCGACCUGAGAGGGUGACCGGCCACACUGGGACUGAGACACGGCCCAGACUCCUACGGGAGGCAGCAGUAGGGAAUCUUCCGCAAUGGACGAAAGUCUGACGGAGCAACGCCGCGUGAGCGAAGAAGGUCUUCGGAUCGUAAAGCUCUGUUGUCAGGGAAGAACAAGUGCCGUUCGAACAGGGCGGUACCUUGACGGUACCUGACGAGGAAGCCACGGCUAACUACGUGCCAGCAGCCGCGGUAAUACGUAGGUGGCAAGCGUUGUCCGGAAUUAUUGGGCGUAAAGCGCGCGCAGGCGGUUCCUUAAGUCUGAUGUGAAAUCUCGCGGCUCAACCGCGAGCGGCCAUUG
Molecule: ribosomal RNA, 569 nt
Filed under: uncultured bacterium
Lineage: Bacteria
Description: bacterial SSU rRNA
Rfam family: Bacterial small subunit ribosomal RNA
Source: RNAcentral